Molecule: ribosomal RNA, 116 nt
Filed under: Pteropus alecto (black flying fox)
Lineage: Eukaryota; Metazoa; Chordata; Mammalia; Chiroptera; Pteropodidae
Source: RNAcentral
GUCUACGGCCAUGCCACCCUGAACAAGCCCGAUGUCUGAUCUCGGAAGCUAAGCAGGGUUGGGCCUCGUUAGUACUUGGAUGGGAGACCACCUAGGAAGACCAGGUGCUGUAGGCA